RNAcentral lists this ribosomal RNA (492 nucleotides) under uncultured bacterium. RNAcentral's name for it is "partial 16S ribosomal RNA". It matches the Rfam family "Bacterial small subunit ribosomal RNA", at positions 29 to 507 of the family's 1533-position model. The record is from RNAcentral.
AGUGAACGCUGGCGGUAGGCCUAACACAUGCAAGUCGAACGGCAGCACAGUAAGAGCUUGCUCUUACGGGUGGCGAGUGGCGGACGGGUGAGGAAUACAUCGGAAUCUACUUUUUCGUGGGGGAUAACGUAGGGAAACUUACGCUAAUACCGCAUACGACCUACGGGUGAAAGCAGGGGAUCUUCGGACCUUGCGCGAUUGAAUGAGCCGAUGUCGGAUUAGCUAGUUGGCGGGGUAAAGGCCCACCAAGGCGACGAUCCGUAGCUGGUCUGAGAGGAAGAAUAGCCACACGGGAUCAGAGACACGGUCCACACACCGGCACUGAGCAACAGUGGGGAAUCUUGGACAAUGGAGGCAAGGCUGAUACAGCCAUAUCGCGUGGAUGAAGAAGCCCUUCGGGUUGGAAAGCCCUGAAGGUGGGAAAGAAAUGCAGCAGUUUAGUACGGCGCUGUUCUGACGGUACCCAAAGAAUAAGCACCGGCUAACUUCGUG